Molecule: ribosomal RNA, 254 nt
Filed under: uncultured bacterium
Lineage: Bacteria
Description: partial 16S ribosomal RNA
Rfam family: Bacterial small subunit ribosomal RNA
Source: RNAcentral
UACGUAGGGUGCGAGCGUUGUCCGGAAUUAUUGGGCGUAAAGAGCUUGUAGGCGGUUUGUCGCGUCUGCCGUGAAAAUUCGAGGCUCAACCUCGAACUUGCGGUGGGUACGGGCAGACUAGAGUGUGGUAGGGGAGACGUGGAAUUCCUGGUGUAGCGGUGAAAUGCGCAGAUAUCAGGAGGAACACCGAUGGCGAAGGCAGGUCUCUGGGCCACUACUGACGCUGAGAAGCGAAAGCAUGGGGAGCGAACAGG